GGAGAGAUGGCCGAGUGGUUUAAGGCGGCGGUCUUGAAAACCGUUGAGCGAAAGCUCCGGGGGUUCGAAUCCCUCUCUCUCCGCCA
This 86-nucleotide transfer RNA is filed under the name Nitrospirae bacterium GWC1_57_7. RNAcentral describes it as "tRNA-Ser". It matches the Rfam family "tRNA". From Rfam's summary of the family: Transfer RNA (tRNA) molecules are approximately 80 nucleotides in length. Lineage: Bacteria; Pseudomonadati; Nitrospirota. The record is from RNAcentral. RNAcentral also lists the same sequence under 5 other names.